GAUGAACGCUGGCGGCGUGCCUAAUACAUGCAAGUGGAACGCUGAAGGAAGGAGCUUGCUCUUUCCGGAUGAGUUGCGAACGGGUGAGUAACGCGUAGGUAACCUGCCUGGUAGCGGGGGAUAACUAUUGGAAACGAUAGCUAAUACCGCAUAACAGUAGAUGUUGCAUGAUAUCUACUUAAAAGGUGCAAUUGCACCACUACCAGAUGGACCUGCGUUGUAUUAGCUAGUUGGUGAGGUAACGGCUCACCAAGGCGACGAUACAUAGCCGACCUGAGAGGGUGAUCGGCCACACUGGGACUGAGACACGGCCCAGACUCCUACGGGAGGCAGCAGUAGGGAAUCUUCGGCAAUGGACGGAAGUCUGACCGAGUAACGCCGCGUGAGUGAAGAAGGUUUUCGGAUCGUAAAGCUCUGUUGUAAGAGAAGAACGAGUGUGAGAGUGGAAAGUUCACACUGUGACGGUAUCUUACCAGAAAGGGACGGCUAACUACGUG
This 497-nucleotide ribosomal RNA is filed under the name uncultured bacterium. Its description in RNAcentral is "partial 16S ribosomal RNA". It matches the Rfam family "Bacterial small subunit ribosomal RNA", at positions 28 to 507 of the family's 1533-position model. The record is from RNAcentral.